This 29-nucleotide non-coding RNA is filed under the name Mus musculus (house mouse). The record is from RNAcentral. Lineage: Eukaryota; Metazoa; Chordata; Mammalia; Rodentia; Muridae.
UGGGACGCAGGGUGCGGUGCCACGACCUC